RNAcentral lists this ribosomal RNA (1388 nucleotides) under uncultured bacterium. RNAcentral's name for it is "16S ribosomal RNA". It matches the Rfam family "Bacterial small subunit ribosomal RNA". The record is from RNAcentral.
UUAGAGUUUCUUUCUGGCUCAGGAUGAACGCUGGCGGCGUGCCUAAUACAUGCAAGUCGAACGGUAAACGCCCUUCGGGGCGUGAGAGUGGCGCACGGGUGCGUAACGCGUAUGCAACCCACCCCCUGCAGGGGUAUAGCCCGGAGAAAUCCGGAUUAACCCCCCAUGAGGAGCGGGAGAGGCAUCUCUCCCGUUUCAAAACUACGGUGGCGGGGGACGGGCAUGCGUCCCAUUAGGUAGUCGGCGGGGCAACGGCCCACCGAGCCUGUGAUGGGUAGGGGAUCUGAGAGGACGGUCCCCCACACUGGUACUGAGACACGGACCAGACUCCUACGGGAGGCAGCAGUAAGGGAUAUUGGUCAAUGGGCGGUAGCCUGAACCAGCCAUGCCGCGUGAGGGAUGAAGGCCCUACGGGUCGCAGACCUCUUUUGCCGGGGGAUAACGUGCCCAACGCGUUGGGCAGUGAAGGUACCCGGAGAAUAAGCAUCGGCUAACUCCGUGCCAGCAGCCGCGGUAAUACGGAGGAUGCGAGCGUUAUCCGGAUUUAUUGGGUUUAAAGGGUGCGCAGGCGGCGUGCUAAGUCAGCGGUGAAAGGCGACGGCUCAACCGGAGCAGUGCCGUUGAUACUGGCGUGCUUGAAUGCGGUCGAGGCCGGCGGAAUGUGGCGUGUAGCGGUGAAAUGCAUAGAUAUCGCACAGAACGCCGAUCGCGGAGGCAGGUCACCAAGCCGCAACUGACGCUGAGGCACGAAAGCGCGGGGAUCGAACAGGAUUAGAUACCCUGGUAGUCCGCGCAGUAAACGAUGGACGCUCGCCGUUCGGCAUAGCGCCGAGUGGCCAAGCGAAAGCGAUAAGCGUCCCACCUGGGGAGUACGCCGGCAACGGUGAAACUCAAAGGAAUUGACGGGGGCCCGCACAAGCGGAGGAACAUGUGGUUUAAUUCGAUGAUACGCGAGGAACCUUACCCGGGCUUGAAAGUUAGCGACGGACCUGGAAACAGGUCUUCCCUUCGGGGCGCGAAACUAGGUGCUGCAUGGUUGUCGUCAGCUCGUGCCGUGAGGUGUCGGCUUAAGUGCCAUAACGAGCGCAACCCCUGCCGCCAGUUGCCAGCGAGUUAAGUUGGGGACUCUGGCGGGACUGCCACCGCAAGGUGCGAGGAAGGCGGGGAUGACGUCAAAUCAGCACGGCCCUUACGUCCGGGGCGACACACGUGUUACAAUGGGGGGUACAGAGGGCAGCGACCUGGCGACAGGGAGCGAAUCUCAGAAAGCCCCUCUCAGUUCGGAUCGGAGUCUGCAACUCGACUCCGUGAAGCUGGAUUCGCUAGUAAUCGCGCAUCAGCCAUGGCGCGGUGAAUACGUUCCCGGGCCUUGUACUCACCGCCCGUCA